This 524-nucleotide ribosomal RNA is filed under the name uncultured bacterium. Its description in RNAcentral is "bacterial SSU rRNA". It matches the Rfam family "Bacterial small subunit ribosomal RNA", at positions 355 to 895 of the family's 1533-position model. The record is from RNAcentral.
UGGGGAAUAUUGGACAAUGGGGGAAACCCUGAUCCAGCGACGCCGCGUGAGUGAAGAAGUAUUUCGGUAUGUAAAGCUCUAUCAGCAGGGAAGAAAAUGACGGUACCUGACUAAGAAGCCCCGGCUAACUACGUGCCAGCAGCCGCGGUAAUACGUAGGGGGCAAGCGUUAUCCGGAUUUACUGGGUGUAAAGGGAGCGCAGACGGCGAAGCAAGUCUGAAGUGAAAUGCAUGGGCUCAACCCAUGAAUUGCUUUGGAAACUGUUUGGCUUGAGUGUCGGAGGGGUAAGCGGAAUUCCUAGUGUAGCGGUGAAAUGCGUAGAUAUUAGGAGGAACACCGGAGGCGAAGGCGGCUUACUGGACGACAACUGACGUUGAGGCUCGAAGGCGUGGGGAGCAAACAGGAUUAGAUACCCUGGUAGUCCACGCAGUAAACGAUGAAUACUUGGUGUCGGGGAGGUAAACUCUUCGGUGCCGCAGGCAAACGCAUUAAGUAUUCCACCUGGGGAAUACGUUCGCAAGAAU